AGCAUAAGUUUCCAUUGAAAGCCUACUUCUCUCACCAUCACCAGCCUCUUGCAAUAGCUUUACUCAGAUGUCCUUUUGCUACGCACUGCUGUCAACACUUGAAACACAUUUCAGAAGUGCUCAAAGCAUUACUAGAAGGUGAAAGCAUUAGUUCGUUUGCUGACCUUUUUGAAAUCUGGUUUUUGAUUGCUCGUUUUGGAGAAU
Struthio camelus australis is the source of this 204-nucleotide non-coding RNA. Lineage: Eukaryota; Metazoa; Chordata; Aves; Struthioniformes; Struthionidae. The record is from RefSeq and is a predicted model, not a curated record.